Molecule: ribosomal RNA, 510 nt
Filed under: Mesorhabdus brevicaudatus
Lineage: Eukaryota; Metazoa; Arthropoda; Copepoda; Calanoida; Heterorhabdidae
Description: partial 28S ribosomal RNA
Rfam family: Eukaryotic large subunit ribosomal RNA
Source: RNAcentral
UGUGGACGGCCAGUCAAAGUCCAACUUGACAGUGGCCAUGGCCCGUAGAGGGUGAUAGGCCCGUAAGGCGGCUGUCCCGCUGUGCUGACUUUUCCCUAGAGUCGGGUUGCUUGGGAGUGCAGCCCAAAGUGCGAGGUAAACUCCUCGUAAGGCUAAAUAUGACCCCGAGACCGAUAGCAAACAAGUACCGUGAGGGAAGAUUGAAAAGAACUUUGAAGAGAGAGUUCAAGAGUACGUGAAACUGUGUGGUGGUAAACGGAGGGGCUCUCGAAGUUUCUGAGGGGGACUCAACCUUGGUGGUGCUGGGCCUGGGUGUAUUUGAUCAGCAAUGACUUUGCACCUAGUCCCCAAUGCCUCCCGGACGCACUUUCUCCUCAGUUUACGGCAGGAACCGUUAGGAGUGGACCGAAGGCCUGGGGUGAAGUUGUCGGUUAUGCUGGCAGCCCCCGGUGUCCUGGCUUCGCACCUGACGGGUAUGUGAGCGGACUCGUAUAGCGAGCAAUUCUCUAU